This 602-nucleotide ribosomal RNA is filed under the name uncultured marine archaeon. Its description in RNAcentral is "bacterial SSU rRNA". It matches the Rfam family "Archaeal small subunit ribosomal RNA", at positions 20 to 628 of the family's 1478-position model. The record is from RNAcentral.
GCACUGACUGCUAUCGGAUUGAUACUAAGCCAUGCGAGUCAUUGUAGCAAUGCAAGGCAGACGGCUCAGUAACGCGUAGUCAACCUACCCUAUGGACGGGAAUAAUCUCGGGAAACUGAGGCUAAUUCCAGAUAGAACACUAUGCCUGGAACGGCUUGUGUUCCAAAUGAUUUAUCGCCAUAGGAUGGGACUGCGGCCUAUCAGUUUGUUGGUGAGGUAAUGGCCCACCAAGACUAUUACAGGUACGGGCUCUGAGAGGAGUAGCCCGGAGAUGGGUACUGAGACACGGACCCAGGCCCUAUGGGGCGCAGCAGGCGAGAAAACUUUGCAAUGUGCGAAAGCACGACAAGGUUAAUCCGAGUGGUUCCUGCUAAAGGAACCUUUUGACGGUCCUAAAAACACCGUUGAAUAAGGGGUGGGCAAGUUCUGGUGUCAGCCGCCGCGGUAAAACCAGCACCUCAAGUGGUCAGGAUGAUUAUUGGGCCUAAAGCAUCCGUAGCCGGCUCUGUUAGUUUUCGGUUAAAUCUGUACGCUCAACGUACAGGCUGCCGGGAAUACUACAGAGCUAGGGAGUGGGAGAGGUAGACGGUACUUGUAAGGAA